RNAcentral lists this ribosomal RNA (253 nucleotides) under uncultured bacterium. RNAcentral describes it as "partial 16S ribosomal RNA". It matches the Rfam family "Bacterial small subunit ribosomal RNA", at positions 524 to 776 of the family's 1533-position model. The record is from RNAcentral.
UACGUAGGGGGCAAGCGUUGUCCGGAAUUAUUGGGCGUAAAGAGCGCGUAGGCGGUCCGAUAAGUCGGCUGUGAAAGUCAGGGGCUCAACCCUUGAAAGCCGGCCGAUACUGUCGGACUAGAGUCCGGAAGAGGCGAGUGGAAUUCCUGGUGUAGCGGUGAAAUGCGCAGAUAUCAGGAAGAACACCCGUGGCGAAGGCGGCUCUCUGGGACGGUACUGACGCUGAGACGCGAAAGCGUGGGGAGCGAACAGG